Sarcophilus harrisii (Tasmanian devil) is the source of this 4832-nucleotide long non-coding RNA. The record is from Ensembl. NCBI's taxonomy places the organism in Eukaryota, Metazoa, Chordata, Mammalia, Dasyuromorphia, Dasyuridae.
CCGCCGGCUGGGCUCCUGCUCUACGGGACAGCGGCCGCAGAAAGGAGACCACACAACCUCAGGUGCGGUGUCUGCGGGGGGGAGACUAACGGGACUCGGGGAGAGGAAGUUAAGGAACUGAAUGUCAGGGUUCACAAACUCCCCCAAAUCCCUCUCUUUUUUACAAAAUUUAUUUUAUUACUUUUUAAAAAUUAUAGCUUUUUAUUUACAAGCUGCGUGCGUGGGUAAUUACUCCCGCAAAUCCCAGUGGGCCUUGGGAAGACCUAGAACCUCAGAUUUCCGGCUCGGGGGUUUGGGAGACCGUCGGGUCCGACCUGUUUGUUUUGCAGAGGAAACUAUGAGGGCCAAGGUCUCACAGCUCAUCGGAAGCAGAGGCCUUGAGUCCCAGAUCCAGACCUUUCUGCAGCUAGAUCUGGAACGACUGCAAUUAUUUUAGGCUUCUGAGAGAAGCCGGGGAGAAGCCAAGAAAAUGGGGGUCAAAAUAAGUGAUAUUGAGUCUCUUUUAGGGGAAAGAGUCUAUUUUCAUGUGAGAAAAGCCACUGUCGCCAUUGAGGAUCACUGAUGGGUACACAAGGGAACGUUGAGUGCUUUGGGGGGCCUGCUGCCAGACAGCGCUUGCUGAUCUGGGGGGUCCUGUCCAUUCUGGGACGCCCCCCCCGCCCGAGACAGGCCCCCCUGGGCCUUGGCCACAGGGGCCGGGCCGGGCCUGCCACGGGGGCUGCUUCAGGGCCUCUCCUGGCUUUGCUCAGGCCCUAGGAACUUCCAGAGGCUCGGUGGGUAUCAGAGCUGGGGGGAGGGGGCCUGCUCGGCCCCCCCCCAGAGAGGCCUGCUCCGUAGCCUCCCUAUUCGGGGCCCAUGACGCUGGCCGGGAAGAGGCCGGGAGGGGGGAAUGGAGGGCCCAAAGACCUCGAGGGUGGGAGAGACCCGAGAGGGGGAGGGGAGGAGGGCCUCUGCCCGAGGCUGCCCUGCUGUUUGUCCGGAAGUGGGGAUGGGACCAGCUGGGGACGGUCCGUACAAAGUCCUCUGUGGGGGCAGCUCCCCUGCCAAGGACACCGGACACAGCACCUCCCAGGGCCUCACCCGGGCCCGAGUCCCGCCACUCCCUGAGCCCGCCGUGGUGGGAGAAGAAGCUGCCCGAGCGCCCACUUCCUGUCCUGCAAAUGCGGCUCAUCCGCCGGCCACCAGCCCAGCUCUGCCCAACUCUCCGGAGGCCCCGCCCUUCGUGACCGCCCCCCGCCCCGUCCAUCUGCUCCCCGAUGCUCGGAGCCAAAGGGGGCCCAACAAACAGAGACUGGGGAAGGGAUCCGGAUCGGGGGGACCGAGCUCAGGCCGCUGUGGACCCGGGCGAGCUACUGCUCCCUGUUUGCUGUUGCUCCCCCAUCUGUCAAGUGGAAAAGGGAAUCGAUCGCGCCGGUGUCUCUGCCAAGAAGAUCCUGAGCGGGCCGAACAACAACAUGUGGGGCUCGUGUGUCGUCCCGUGAGUCCUCGCCUCCCCUGGGAGGGAGAUGUGCUCAUGAGCCCGCUUGGCAGAUGGGAAACAGCUGAGGCUGAGAGGGCGGGAUGAUGUCCCCGAGAUUACUAAGUCUCUGAGGUGACCCCGAGUCUGGCGCCGGCGGCCAUGACUCGUAAUCCAUGAGGAUCCUGGAAAACCCCAAGUUCCACAAACAUCCGGGCUGAGGUGACAAAGCCCUGGAGGAGCUGCUGUUCUUCUUCAAAGGGAGGAGCCUGCGGCAUGUGCCCGGCAAAGUAACGGAGUCCUUGGGAGAGACAGAGGGACCAGGAGCGUCUGCCAGAGGGGCCUCUCCGGCCUCGGCCGUUCCUUGGCUGGGCGACCCCUGGCCUCUCUGUGCCAGCCUCCUCAUCCAUAAAAUGGGGACAAGGCGACAGUCGGACCCAACGAGGACAUUUUGCAAAGUGUCGCACAGACUUUCUAAGUCUUGGGAAUCUGGACGAUGAUGCAGCCAUUGGGAGAGCCCAGAGCCCGUCGGGGCUGGGGAGACAUCACGGAACACCGGCCGUCAGUGGGUGACUGGCACGGAGAGCCCCUGGUGUCUGGCACAGAGAGCUCCAGGGAUGGGGGCCCGAGGCCUGGCCGUGGCCUUCCUGCUGGGGCUGGCGGGGGCCGCCCUGGCCUCCAACAACGGCACGCGGAUCUGCCAGCCGGCCCCGGACUGGCAGGUGGACGGCGGCGUCUCCCCCAUGGAGGAAGCCCUGGGCAACGUGACGGUGGUGGCCCUUCUCAAGGCCAGCUGACACUUCUGCCUCCUGCAGGCCGCCAGGAUAGGCAGCCUGCAGGAGCGCCUGGCCCGCGCCGGCACCGCCGGGGUCCGCUUCCUCAUAGUCAACCACAAGUCGGCGGCGGCCCAGGCCCUGCAGGGCGAGCUGGAGCUCCGGGCCCCCCGGGGCGUGCCCGUCUACAGCCAGCGGGGGCCCAGGCCCGACAUCUGGGGGCUCCUCGGAGGGGCCAAGGACGACUUCCUGGUCUAUGACAGGUGUGGCCGCCUGACCUUCCACAUCCAGCUGCCCUUCAGCGCCCUGAGCUUCCCCUUCGUGGAGGCGGCCGUUCGCUUCAGUCACCAGCAGGAUCACUGUGGGAACUGCUCUUUCUACCCGGCCCAGGUGAACGGCACGGACCAGGCCGAGUCGGCAGCCCAGUCCCCCGGCCAGGAAGGAAGGCAGGGGCCCCUGAGCGAGGGGCCCAACCCCCACCGACCGACUCUGCUGUCCGGCUCCCCUCCCCCAGCCCAGACCCAUGGGCCUGACCACAGCCCUGGCGAGCAGCCACCUCCCAGCCCCCCUCCCCACAGCCUGGAGCAGUUCCCCCACAUGCAGGCCCUCAUUUAACCUCCACAGGGGGCACGGCCGGCCCCCACGGCCCCCAACACCCCCCCCAGCUCAUUCCUGAGGGACCACUGAGGUGUCCCUGGGGUCACGGUCACUACGGGGAUCUGUGCCCAUCAAGGCCCGGCCUUGGUGAGCCCCAGACCUCACCCACCACCCUCCCUCCCUCCAUUAAUGACGCCCACGGUGCAACCCCGAGAAGCGGCCACGGCGGGCUGACGCCACAUAGGGAGGAGGGAUGAGGAAGAGUCCGUUGUGCACCCCCAGGGUGACCACAAGCCAGUGGGGGGCCCAACCAGUGCCGGGGGCUGGGAAAUGGCCAAUAAACUCGGCUGCCUGCAGCUGCCUCACUGGUCUGCUUGGGGGCUUUCGGGGGGCCGGGCGGGAGGCAGGGCCCCAGGAUGUGAGAGAGUAUGUACAUGGGGCAGUGUGAGAGAAAACGUGAGGGGCCGCACCCACAGCAGAAUCAGGGGGAGGUCGAGGAGAGUGUGAGAGGGGCUUCCUGGAGGAGGCGGCCCUGAGAGGGCUGGGAGGAGCCCAAGGUCAGGGCUGACUCAGGGCCCAGCCCUCUCCUCCCCUGACUUGCAGCAGCAGCAGGGCUGGACCCUAACCCGGGGCCCCUUCUGUGACUUUCUGGGGAGAAAUAGGUCCUGCCCCUGUACGGGCCCCUUGGGAACCCCCGCAGCCCCAGAUCUGGCUCCCUCGUCCCAAGCCCUCCCGGGAUCGUCCCUCUGGGACAGAAGGCUGGCCCAGAGCUCCGAGGGCCGGGCCCACGUCUCCCUUCUCUCACGGGGCUCCCGCCGAGGGCCGACUCUCAGCCCUGCUGUCCUUGCUCUGCCCCACGGGUGGGGGUGGGGGGACCAGGAACCCCACAGCGACAUCCCUGCAAGCCUCCCCUGGAAUGCCUCUAGGGACGGGGAGCUCCCUACCUCACCUCCAGAGGCAGCCCCACUGCCUCUGUACUCCCCCCCGCCCAGAGGCUCCUCGGGGCCAAGCAGACAAGGCUAGAGCCCCUUCUGGCGAGGACCCUUUGAGACCCUUGAAGGCGGCUCUCGGGGUGUGAGAGAGAGACUGGCUUUGCACAGAGGGCCAGGGUUUGAAUCCUGCCUGACUCCUGGGGGCUCCUUCUGGGCCCAGUCUCCUCCUCUGCACAAUGAGCCUGGGACUUGGAGCCUCUCCCGGGGCAGCCCCCUGCCCCCGAGCUUGGGCUUGGUCCCAGGCCCCAAAAACCCUCCAUUUACUUCAACAAGCUUGAGCUCGCCGGCACCACCUUGUGGCCAAACAUGGAUCCUCAACAAAGGCAGGGGAACAGGCAUUUAUUAAGCACCGACUGUGUACCAGGUUCUGUCCUGAGCGCUCAUGGCUCAGGAAGCAGGUGCUCUGAUUGUCCCCAUUCUACAGAUAAGGAAACUGAGGUAGCAGAGGUGGAGGAGCUUGCCCAAGCAGGCCUCCCUGACUCCCAAGCCAGCUUAGGGGCCUCUGGGAGGGGCCUUUACCACAGUUUCCCUGGUGGAGGCCCCAUGGAGGGCCCUCUCCCAGAUGCGCUAUCUCCCCUCCUCUGGCCCCCUGCCUUCUCUAAUCUUCUUCCCCCGAUGGCCCCCAGGAGUCGGCUCUGGGGGGGCCCCUGUGAGCUCUGGCCCCUGGAGGGGUGGGGGGGUGACGGGCCCCGGAGCGGGCUGGGGGCUGAGGUGGGACUUCCUGGCGGACGGUCUCCGGUCAGGGCGGGGGGCGGGGCCGUCACUGGGCGGAGCUGGCGGGAGGCCGGGCAGGCCCACGGCCCCCCACGCGGGGGGUCCAUGUCCGGAGAUCCCGGGCCAGGUUGGGGGGGGUCCCGCCCAGCAUGCGCCCAAGCUGCUCGAUCCUCCUGUGGGGGAGGGGGCGGCUAGGGCCCAGGGCAGCCCGCGGUGGCCAGGCCCCCCUCGCUUCUCCUACCUUGGGGGCGUAGAGGGCGCAGGGGUCCAGGUUGCCCUGCAGGGUCACCGACUUUCCCA